CGAACGGGUGAGUAAUGCGUGACCAACCUGCCCCAUGCUCCAGAAUAGCUCUUGGAAACGGGUGGUAAUGCUGGAUGCUCCAACUUGACGCAUGUCUUGUUGGGAAAGUGUUUAGUGGCAUGGGAUGGGGUCGCGUCCUAUCAGCUUGUAGGCGGGGUAAUGGCCCACCUAGGCUUCGACGGGUAGCCGGCCUGAGAGGGCGGACGGCCACAUUGGGACUGAGAUACGGCCCAGACUCCUACGGGAGGCAGCCAGCC
This 257-nucleotide ribosomal RNA is filed under the name uncultured Gardnerella sp. Its description in RNAcentral is "partial 16S ribosomal RNA". It matches the Rfam family "Bacterial small subunit ribosomal RNA", at positions 99 to 352 of the family's 1533-position model. The record is from RNAcentral. Lineage: Bacteria; Bacillati; Actinomycetota; Actinomycetes; Bifidobacteriales; Bifidobacteriaceae.